UACGAAGGGGGCUAGCGUUGCUCGGAAUUACUGGGCGUAAAGCGCACGUAGGCGGCUUUCUAAGUCGGGGGUGAAAUCCUGGAGCUCAACUCCAGAACUGCCUUUGAUACUGAGGAUCUUGAGUACGGGAGAGGUGAGUGGAACUGCGAGUGUAGAGGUGAAAUUCGUAGAUAUUCGCAAGAACACCAGUGGCGAAGGCGGCUCACUGGCCCGUUACUGACGCUGAGGCACGAAAGCGUGGGGAGCAAACAGG
Molecule: ribosomal RNA, 253 nt
Filed under: uncultured bacterium
Lineage: Bacteria
Description: partial 16S ribosomal RNA
Rfam family: Bacterial small subunit ribosomal RNA
Source: RNAcentral